This is a long non-coding RNA of Rattus norvegicus (Norway rat), 3760 nucleotides long. RefSeq lists it as uncharacterized. Lineage: Eukaryota; Metazoa; Chordata; Mammalia; Rodentia; Muridae. The record is from RefSeq and is a predicted model, not a curated record.
AGGAGGAGGAGGAGGAGGAGGAGGAGGAAGAGGAGGAGGAGGAGGGGGAAGAAGAAGAAGAAGAAGAAGAAGAAGAAGAAGAAGAAGAAGAAGAAGAAGAAGAAGAAGAAGAAGAAGAAGAAGAAGAAGAAGAAGAAAAAUAAAAUCUGGGUGACCAGCUUAUAUAUCCACAGAAGUCACGGGACUGACUUUCACAUGGUAAAUAGAUCUCAUCUAAUGCCUAGUGCUUCUGGGGGAGUUUUUCUACCAGAGAAGAAACAUCAGCCUGUAUCCCUUCUGCUUCAGAGUCUUUCACUUCUGAGCCCACGACCUGGGUGAUCUCUUAUGGAAUCCUGGUACCAACUUCUACUCUUUAUGCAUGUUUAUUUUUGUUUUAUAUUAUUGUUUAUUUGUGUGUGUGUGUUUAUUUAUUUACUUUACAUCCUGCUCUCUGUCCCCCUCCUGGUCACUCCCUCCCAUAAUCUUUCCCCCUUGCCCCUCCCCUUCUCCUCUGAGAGGGUGGGGGCCCUGGGUAUCCCCCUACCCUGGCACAUCAAGUCUCUGUGGGGCUGGCACAUCCUAUGUAGCACUGUCUGUCCUGGAACUCGCUAUGUAGACCAGGCUGUAGGCCUUGAACUGACAAGAGUGUUACAAUGAAAGGCAUGUAUGUUCCAUUAUGCCCAGAGCCCAGCUUCUACUGUUAAGUUGAACAUUUUUAGUCUAAUUCCAUCCUUGAUUUGCUGUGCACGUGUGACUGGUGCAGUACACGCCCUCAGCAGCUCCCGCUGUGGACAUCCUGCUAGUAUCGAACAGUCCUGGAAGGCAGAUGGUCAAGUCAGCUUGAGAUCUGCUUUCUGGCUAAGGGGAUGUACACCAUGGUACCUGAAUUGUAUGUUGUGUGGAGAGGCUGGUAUCUAUCUAUUCAUACAUUUAGCAAGUGAUUAUAUCACAGAGAUCCCUCAGCCAUGGACUUCUAAAUACUCCAGUAUUAAGCUCAACAUCACUCUAACCACUCCUGGUUGUUGGACCCAGACAUCAGUAGUCAGUGUCGGUCUCAAAGAAUCCACUGUACACAGAAACGGCCCACUAAUCCUGCUGUGCAAACUUAGAGAAGGUUUUAGCCUACUUAUUUCUCAGUCGAGUAUAACCAUAGCAUCUGUCUCUGUGUUAUAGGGUUGUCUGAGAGGAACUCUAGAGAGUGUUGUGUUUAGCACUGGGGGAACCCUUGAGAAGUGAGGCCACUGCCAUUUCAGUCAGUGUGACUACUCUAGGAUCACACCACUGUGGACUAGCUCACUAACACUCAUUUAUUUUCCAACAGUAUCUGAAGCUUGAUGUCUACGAUUAAAGAGCCAUCGGAGCUUGGUUCUAGAAAGGGCUUUCUUGUGAAUUUGCAGAUGUCUGCCUUCUUGUUGGGUGAUCACAUAUUUGGGUGGUGGAAAGAGAGUCGUUAGGUUGUGGUCACAGGUUUAUUAGAUGAGGACUUAACCAUUAUGACUCCAUUUGGUAUCUCAAAAUCCUCCUAAAGUCCCCUACCCUGAGACAAAUACAUUGUCGUCCAGGGCUUCAACACAUGACAUUUGGAAACGAUUCAGUUCAGGACAAUUAUCCUCAUCCUUGCCAAUCAUUUAUUUCCAAAAUUCUACUGUUGGUUGAUUUACUGUCUUUGUCUGUCCUGGAUGAUCCUGGCUAUACCAUUUAAUUUCCUGCAUCCCAGGGAACUCAUGUGGAUGUCUUGAUUAAACCCACUUACCCACAUACCUAGUUCAAAUCUAUCUGAGCUAGCCUGAAAUCAUCCCCAUACCUAUAUAGUACAUUUAACCACUCACCAAACCCCAAGCCCUCCUAAGUUUGAAUAAAAAUAUCUCAGUUUAGCCUUCACGUAUCCAUUUGACCACGGCUCUCUAAUAAUUAUCCACCAGGAUAGUUUUAUUCCGUUUCUGUGACUAAUGGUGCGACCAAAAGUUACUUGAUGAAGGAAAGGGUUAAUUUUGUCUUGUAUUUUCAGGUCAGAGUUCGUUAUUGAGCGAAGCCAGGGCAAGAAUUUACCAUUGAACUUGAAGCAGAAACCAUGGAGGAAUGUUGCUUGACGCUCAUCCCCUGCCUCAGUCUGGUUCAUGCUCAGCUAGCUAGCUUCAUUGUACAGACAAGAACCACAUGUGUAAGGAUGAUGCUACCCACAGUAAGCUAGGUACUCUUACUCAAUUAAUAGUCAAUGCAAUCUCUCACAGACAUAUUCACAGACACGCCUAAUAAGCACAAUUACUCAGUCGAGACUCUUUCUGUCAGGUGACUGUGGACUGUUUUAAGUCGGGAGUUAAUUCUAACUAGGGCACCUACCAUUGAGGUUUUUGCAUGACCUUCUAAUGUAGUUAUCUUUGAACUCGAAUCACAUUCACUGAUUACUGCUUCUCUGACUUUCUCAUUUUGUCGUGGGGCAGGUCAGGGGAGAGCCUGGGUGUCUGCAUUUCUAACAGCAUCCCAGAAGCUCAUGAUCACGCAUUAGGGCUCUGAAACUUGGGCUUCAAAACUUAGUUCCAGGGAUAUACUGCACACUUGGAAAGUGAGAGUACUGCCAUUUCAGUCAGUGUGACUACCCUAACAAAUUACGUCACCGUAGUGUAGCAUAAUAAUUAAUCAUUUGUUUUCUCACAGUAUCUGACACUUGAUAUCUAACAUAUUAUAUAUUGGCCUUCUUGCUGAGUAGUCACAUAUUUGGGUGGAAUGAAUUUAUUUUUCCCUUUUAUAUGGUCCCAAGUUUAUUAGAUUAGGACUUAACCAUUAUGACUUAAUAUCUGUCUGUCUAUCUAUCUAUCUAUCUAUCUAUCUAUCUAUCUAUCUAUCUAUCUAUCUAUCUAUCAUCUAUGUUCAGGUCCAUUGGGGAGAUGGAGCCUACUGGAGAUUCCAGAAGCAUAUGAGUCACACAACAACGACACAUUCCUGACCAGGGCCCUUUGUGAAUGACAGAGUUCUACAUCAGCAGGAAAGCCCUGGCACCCGAUGAGCACAUUGUCCAGUGACCUGCUCAGCUGUGAGCUCUUUGUACCCAUCCUAACUCCCAUCCACAACAACCUCUCACAAUGCGAAAUGCAGAGUCAGUUACUCUAGACAGAUGAUUCGGGUUGGGGUGCCCCUGACUUGUGAUUUUUAGUCACACAUCAUGCUUAAGAUCCAGCAUGUCCUGGAUCCUCUGUCAGGCCAAGCAGAGGACUGCCCCCAAACAACCUGGAGGCUGUCCCUGCCCCGUUUUCACCUGAUCUAAAUAUGACUGUUAACGUAGUCACAGAGCCUGGGUCCCUCCUGGGUUGUCCUCACUCACUUGGCCCUUGACUGGUAGUUUUAUAGGAGAGGUAUUAAUCCUACUACUACGCUCCUGACACUGGGACACAGAAAUGAGAAAAUCCAGUUCCUGUCACGAAUCUCCUAAGGUAUAUGUUGACUCUCCUACAACUCUGGAAGAAAUGAAGUGAAUGGGUCUAGAUGCCAGACACCAUUGGCCUUUCCUGUGCAAAAACUGUCCUAUGGUGAAAGCCCAGACCUUCUGUCUCUGCUAUAGAUGUCAACCCACACCAUUCUUUUCUUUUUGAAAAGCCAGUCUUGAAACUGGAUAGUCACCACUUCUCAAGUGUGCUGUGAAUUGACGUACUAGAGGAGCCUGAAGGCAAGAGCAGGCUGGAUGAAGAGGCACCGAACUCAGGAGCAAAAUCCAGAGGCUGCCCCAAAACAUCAAUCAUUGAAAUAAAUAAUAUUUUAAUGCAGUGCUUAAUAAAAUUCAAAAUUA